This is a long non-coding RNA of Arabidopsis lyrata subsp. lyrata, 262 nucleotides long. RefSeq lists it as uncharacterized. Lineage: Eukaryota; Viridiplantae; Streptophyta; Magnoliopsida; Brassicales; Brassicaceae. The transcript has 3 exons. The record is from RefSeq and is a predicted model, not a curated record.
AAUUCGUUGAUUUAUUGUUUUGCUGAUUUGAUUCUUUUGAUAUGUGUUUCAGUUUUGUAGAACGUGGGAGGUUCCAUCGAGAAAGCUUUCGGACGAAGAUGGUUUUGACGAGAACAGAACGAGGUUUGGAAAGGUUACAAUGAGAUGUGGGCAUACGAUCAUCAAAGCGUGUUUGUUUCAUCGUACAAAAAAAAUAUGUUUUGAAGCUCACGAAAACACAGAGGUUGCUCGCUCUAAUGUCAUUAUCGUGCAAGUUAUCGUC